GGUUUGAAAGUGGGCUUAUAAAGCCAUUAGGUAGCACCAGCUCCUUGCCUCUCCAUUCCGAAAACAAACAAAAAAGGAGUAAAUUAUGAUGAAAGCUGGCAGAUUGAAAUAAGAUUAUCAACAAGAUGGUUUUGUACUGUAUUCAGCGGUGAAGAAGUUGCAAAGAAGAGAAGAUGCCGAAACCAGGUUUGCCAUUUUAGUGAAUCAAGGCAAGCUCAGAUCCGAAAAUUGUCGGGAACAACAUCGUACUAUCGAACAUCUAUUUGAUUUUGGUUGUAAGUUACGAGCUCGGGGAUCGUGAUCGAAGUCAUCCACACUAUCGUCAACUUUUAGUAUUUUUCAAAGUUUAUCUUCGAACUUUUGGCAUGUAUAGGCUAAGUCGUAUUUUGAUCGACCUUGAAUAUGUAUAACCUUAGCCAUGCGAAAAUGGCUUAAUUUCCAUGAUAGAUUCGUUCAUACUUGGAUACGGAUUGAGCUUACUUUUAGUUGAUAUGUUAUAUAUUAUAUGCGAAUGAAA
Gossypium arboreum is the source of this 517-nucleotide long non-coding RNA. RefSeq lists it as uncharacterized. The transcript is spliced from 3 exons. NCBI's taxonomy places the organism in Eukaryota, Viridiplantae, Streptophyta, Magnoliopsida, Malvales, Malvaceae. The record is from RefSeq and is a predicted model, not a curated record.